AGGCAGUGCAGUUAGUUGAUUACAAUCCAUAAAGUAAUCACUAACCUCACUACCAGG
This 57-nucleotide microRNA precursor is filed under the name Danio rerio (zebrafish). RNAcentral describes it as "Dre-Mir-34-P2b_pre stem-loop". The record is from RNAcentral. RNAcentral also lists the same sequence under 1 other name. Lineage: Eukaryota; Metazoa; Chordata; Actinopteri; Cypriniformes; Danionidae.